GUAACUUGUAUGUGUUGCUUUUGUUGCUUCAGUCUUCAGUUUACCAGGAGAUACUUGUGGUCAAUGUACCAGGUUGCUUGUUUCUACCGGGAUAAGUGCGAGGCAUACAUUCCUGCCGGUGUUGGCGGCUCGAUCAGGUCGGGGGGCAUCGGUCGUCGAGGCCGAGAAGACCGGGCUGUCGUAGGAUAGCUUCAAGACAACCAUUGUCAAACGCGACGAC
Molecule: non-coding RNA, 220 nt
Organism: Triticum urartu
Lineage: Eukaryota; Viridiplantae; Streptophyta; Magnoliopsida; Poales; Poaceae
Source: RefSeq, a predicted model, not a curated record